GAUGAACGCUGGCGGCGUGCCUAAUACAUGCAAGUCGAGCGAACAGAUGAGGAGCUUGCUCCUCUGACGUUAGCGGCGGACGGGUGAGUAACACGUGGAUAACCUACCUAUAAGACUGGGAUAACUUCGGGAAACCGGCGCUAAUACCGUAUAAUAUAUUGAACCGCAUGGUUCAAUAGUGAAAGACGGUUUUGCUGUCACUUAUAGAUGGAUCCGCGCCGCAUUAGCUAGUUGGUAAGGUAACGGCUUACCAAGGCGACGAUGCGUAGCCGACCUGAGAGGGUGAUCGGCCACACUGGAACUGAGACACGGUCCAGACUCCUAAGGGAGGCAGCAGUAGGGAAUCUGCCGCAAUGGGCGAAAGCAUGACGGAGCAACGACGCGUGAGUGAUGAAGGUCUUCGGAUCGUAAAACUCUGUUAUUAGGGAAGAACAAAUGUGUAAGUAACUAUGCACGUCUUGACGGUACCUAAUCAGAAAGCCACGGCUAACUACGUG
Molecule: ribosomal RNA, 497 nt
Filed under: uncultured bacterium
Lineage: Bacteria
Description: partial 16S ribosomal RNA
Rfam family: Bacterial small subunit ribosomal RNA
Source: RNAcentral